Molecule: long non-coding RNA, 294 nt
Filed under: Ananas comosus (pineapple)
Lineage: Eukaryota; Viridiplantae; Streptophyta; Magnoliopsida; Poales; Bromeliaceae
Description: long non-coding RNA (ACOM_LNC013225)
Source: RNAcentral
UAAUAAAAAAUAAAACAAAAAAUCAUUCAAAAUAUUUAUUUUAUUAUUGAAAUAAAAAUUAGAAGAGAAUUUUAGAAUUUUGAAAAAAAAAAAUUGAUUAAAAGAGAACGGAGAGAUGAAAGGAGAGUACGUAGUUUAUUUCGGAAUGGAACAAUCUCAAAUUCAAAAUCAGAUUAAAUUAUAACAAAAAAAUGAACAUUUUUUUAAAAAAAAUAAAACUUAAAUCUAAAUUUAAUUUUUUAUAAAAUAAACGAUAAUUAUCAAAAUUAAUAAAUUUUAUUCUGAUUUUAUAAU